UCCCUAUUUCCAAUAUGGUUUAAAAAGAUAGCACUUAUAUAAAUAUAUAUAUAAAUACAGAUCUAAAAUAAUAAUCUCAGGUUAAUACUAUUAUGCUUGAGUUUCUCCCAAAGUUUUCCAUAUACAGAUAUAAGCAGGUUUGAUUCCAUAUAUCAAUAGUCUUGCUAGAGGCACAUUAAUUGAAAAUACAUUACAUGAAUGACUUUAAGUGGGCAUUUUGCAUUUUAGGCAAUCAGCAUAUCAUUUGGACAAUAAAAUAAACAUCACCGCCAAAAAUAU
RNAcentral lists this long non-coding RNA (279 nucleotides) under Mytilus galloprovincialis (Mediterranean mussel). Lineage: Eukaryota; Metazoa; Mollusca; Bivalvia; Mytilida; Mytilidae. The record is from RNAcentral.